UCGCCUUAAACUAAUGAGUAAGGAAAACAAAGCGAGCGGUGGGAGCCGGUCGCCGCGCUAAUUUUUUGUGCGCAAGAAUUUAUGGAGGGGUUAUAGGCUGGCCGGGCGCUGACGCUGCUUACUUUGCAGAACUCGCUCGAGUGGGCCUCCC
Molecule: small nuclear RNA, 151 nt
Filed under: Nelumbo nucifera (sacred lotus)
Lineage: Eukaryota; Viridiplantae; Streptophyta; Magnoliopsida; Proteales; Nelumbonaceae
Description: U12 minor spliceosomal RNA
Rfam family: U12 minor spliceosomal RNA
About the family: Although the U12 sequence is very divergent from that of U2, the two are functionally analogous.
Source: Rfam by way of RNAcentral